CAGUGGGAGCCUCUUUUAUGGGGUGACUGCGUACCUUUUGUAUAAUGGGUCAGCGACUUAUAUUCUGUAGCAAGGUUAACCGAAUAGGGGAGCCGAAGGGAAACCGAGUCUUAACUGGGCGUUAAGUUGCAGGGUAUAGACCCGAAACCCGGUGAUCUAGCCAUGGGCAGGUUGAAGGUUGGGUAACACUAACUGGAGGACCGAACCGACUAAUGUUGAAAAAUUAGCGGAUGACUUGUGGCUGGGGGUGAAAGGCCAAUCAAACCGGGAGAUAGCUGGUUCUCCCCGAAAGCUAUUUAGGUAGCGCCUCGUGAAUUCAUCUCCGGGGGUAGAGCACUGUUUCGGCAAGGGGGUCAUCCCGACUUACCAACCCGAUGCAAACUGCGAAUACCGGAGAAUGUUAUCACGGGAGACACACGGCGGGUGCUAACGUCCGUCGUGAAGAGGGAAACAACCCAGACCGCCAGCUAAGGUCCCAAAGUCAUGGUUAAGUGGGAAACGAUGUGGGAAGGCCCAGACAGCCAGGAUGUUGGCUUAGAAGCAGCCAUCAUUUAAAGAAAGCGUAAUAGCUCACUGGUCGAGUCGGCCUGCGCGGAAGAUGUAACGGGGCUAAACCAUGCACCGAAGCUGCGGCAGCGACACUAUGUGUUGUUGGGUAGGGGAGCGUUCUGUAAGCCUGUGAAGGUGUACUGUGAGGUAUGCUGGAGGUAUCAGAAGUGCGAAUGCUGACAUAAGUAACGAUAAAGCGGGUGAAAAGCCCGCUCGCCGGAAGACCAAGGGUUCCUGUCCAACGUUAAUCGGGGCAGGGUGAGUCGACCCCUAAGGCGAGGCCGAAAGGCGUAGUCGAUGGGAAACAGGUUAAUAUUCCUGUACUUGGUGUUACUGCGAAGGGGGGACGGAGAAGGCUAUGUUGGCCGGGCGACGGUUGUCCCGGUUUAAGCGUGUAGGCUGGUUUUCCAGGCAAAUCCGGAAAAUCAAGGCUGAGGCGUGAUGACGAGGCACUACGGUGCUGAAGCAACAAAUGCCCUGCUUCCAGGAAAAGCCUCUAAGCAUCAGGUAACAUCAAAUCGUACCCCAAACCGACACAGGUGGUCAGGUAGAGAAUACCAAGGCGCUUGAGAGAACUCGGGUGAAGGAACUAGGCAAAAUGGUGCCGUAACUUCGGGAGAAGGCACGCUGAUAUGUAGGUGAAGUCCCUCGCGGAUGGAGCUGAAAUCAGUCGAAGAUACCAGCUGGCUGCAACUGUUUAUUAAAAACACAGCACUGUGCAAACACGAAAGUGGACGUAUACGGUGUGACGCCUGCCCGGUGCCGGAAGGUUAAUUGAUGGGGUCAGCGCAAGCGAAGCUCUUGAUCGAAGCCCCGGUAAACGGCGGCCGUAACUAUAACGGUCCUAAGGUAGCGAAAUUCCUUGUCGGGUAAGUUCCGACCUGCACGAAUGGCGUAAUGAUGGCCAGGCUGUCUCCACCCGAGACUCAGUGAAAUUGAACUCGCUGUGAAGAUGCAGUGUACCCGCGGCAAGACGGAAAGACCCCGUGAACCUUUACUAUAGCUUGACACUGAACAUUGAGCCUUGAUGUGUAGGAUAGGUGGGAGGCUUUGAAGUGUGGACGCCAGUCUGCAUGGAGCCGACCUUGAAAUACCACCCUUUAAUGUUUGAUGUUCUAACGUGGACCCGUGAUCCGGGUUGCGGACAGUGUCUGGUGGGUAGUUUGACUGGGGCGGUCUCCUCCUAAAGAGUAACGGAGGAGCACGAAGGUUGGCUAAUCCUGGUCGGACAUCAGGAGGUUAGUGCAAUGGCAUAAGCCAGCUUGACUGCGAGCGUGACGGCGCGAGCAGGUGCGAAAGCAGGUCAUAGUGAUCCGGUGGUUCUGAAUGGAAGGGCCAUCGCUCAACGGAUAAAAGGUACUCCGGGGAUAACAGGCUGAUACCGCCCAAGAGUUCAUAUCGACGGCGGUGUUUGGCACCUCGAUGUCGGCUCAUCACAUCCUGGGGCUGAAGUAGGUCCCAAGGGUAUGGCUGUUCGCCAUUUAAAGUGGUACGCGAGCUGGGUUUAGAACGUCGUGAGACAGUUCGGUCCCUAUCUGCCGUGGGCGCUGGAGAAUUGAGGGGGGCUGCUCCUAGUACGAGAGGACCGGAGUGGACGCAUCACUGGUGUUCGGGUUGUCAUGCCAAUGGCACUGCCCGGUAGCUAAAUGCGGAAGAGAUAAGUGCUGAAAGCAUCUAAGCACGAAACUUGCCCCGAGAUGAGUUCUCCCUGACCCUUUAAGGGUCCUGAAGGAACGUUGAAGACGACGACGUUGAUAGGCCGGGUGUGUAAGCGCAGCGAUGCGUUGAGCUAACCGGUACUAAUGAACCGUGAGGCUUAACCUUACAACGCCGAAG
This 2385-nucleotide ribosomal RNA is filed under the name Escherichia coli. RNAcentral describes it as "partial 23S ribosomal RNA". It matches the Rfam family "Bacterial large subunit ribosomal RNA", at positions 571 to 2925 of the family's 2925-position model. Lineage: Bacteria; Pseudomonadati; Pseudomonadota; Gammaproteobacteria; Enterobacterales; Enterobacteriaceae. The record is from RNAcentral.